GUGUCCCGCCCGGUAUUUGUGCGGCGCCAGCUGGCCCGGUAGCCUGCGGCGCAGAGAGGCUGGGCUUAUAGGCGCAGUAGCUCCAGAGGUCGCGCUGGGCUGAGAGUGCGGGCCGGCAGAGGCUGGCGGGGAGCAGCCGGGGUUAUGCUGGGCAAGGAUUACAUGCUGGCCAUCAUUCUGGUCAACUGCGAUGAUGACUUGUGGGGGGACCACAGUCUGGAGGGGGAGGCUGGCCUGCCUCCUGGCUGGAGGAAGAUCCACGAUGCUGCAGGUACUUACUACUGGCAUAUACCCAGCGGUAGCACCCAGUGGCAGCGCCCAACCUGGGAACUAGGAGAUGCAGAGGACCCAGGCACGGGAACGGAGGGGAUCUGGGGACUGCGACCCCCCAAAGGGAGAUCCUUCUCCAGCCUGGAGAGUUCACUGGACCGGAGGUAACGGGUGGCCCAGGCAAAAUGAAAGGCUUGGGGUUCCAUGGUGUUCAAAAACGCAGCUGAACCCAUGGUCUGCUUUCCAGCCCAGGUUCUGGAUUCCGUCACAUGUUUUGGGUUCUGUUAUGUUCUUGGCUCUGUCCCAAGUUCUUAACUGUCAGUAUUUUGAGUUUUAUCCCUUGUUCUAAGCUCUUGUUUGUAGCUACAUGUUUUUCAUAUUCUUGGUCCUAACCUAUCAUGUUCUAGACCUUGGCCAUUA
Molecule: small RNA, 690 nt
Filed under: Pongo abelii (Sumatran orangutan)
Lineage: Eukaryota; Metazoa; Chordata; Mammalia; Primates; Hominidae
Description: retained intron
Source: RNAcentral